UCUGAGGAAUGAUGACAGAAAAGGCCGAAUUACAGUGCCCCUUAGCAGUUUUCUCUCUAUGGGUGGCAUAAUGAAAAAAAUCCUUGAAGCGAAAAUUAAACUGACCUCAGC
Pseudophryne corroboree (corroboree frog) is the source of this 111-nucleotide small nucleolar RNA. RefSeq annotates it as small nucleolar RNA SNORD89. Lineage: Eukaryota; Metazoa; Chordata; Amphibia; Anura; Myobatrachidae. The transcript has a single exon. The record is from RefSeq and is a predicted model, not a curated record.